UACGGGGGGGAGCAAGCGUUGUUCGGAUUUACUGGGCGUAAAGAGCUCGUAGGCGGUGUGUCACGUCGGCCGUGAAAACCUGCAGCUUAACUGUGGGCCUGCAGUGGGUACGGGCAGACUAGAGUGCGGUAGGGGAGACUGGAAUUCCGUGGUGUAGCGGUGAAAUGCGCAGAUAUCAGGAGGAAUACCGGUGGCGAAGGCGGGUCUCUGGGCCGUAACUGACGCUGGAGGAGCG
RNAcentral lists this ribosomal RNA (235 nucleotides) under uncultured bacterium. RNAcentral describes it as "partial 16S ribosomal RNA". It matches the Rfam family "Bacterial small subunit ribosomal RNA", at positions 524 to 755 of the family's 1533-position model. The record is from RNAcentral.